GAGAGAUAAUGUAUGGUUGGAUUACUGGGCGAAUACUCCUAUGGCAGAUAGCUUUGCCUAGAUAUGCAAGCAAAAUGCUUCUCUGCCAAAGGAGAUUUGCCCCGCAAUUCAUCCAUGCAAAACAAUACAUCUUUC
Molecule: microRNA precursor, 135 nt
Filed under: Arabidopsis lyrata
Lineage: Eukaryota; Viridiplantae; Streptophyta; Magnoliopsida; Brassicales; Brassicaceae
Description: miR399d stem-loop (aly-MIR399d)
Gene: aly-MIR399d
Rfam family: mir-399 microRNA precursor family (bases 15-114)
About the family: mir-399 was identified in both Arabidopsis thaliana and Oryza sativa computationally and was later experimentally verified. mir-399 is thought to target mRNAs coding for a phosphatase transporter. The mature sequence is excised from the 3' arm of the hairpin.
Source: miRBase by way of RNAcentral